Molecule: ribosomal RNA, 238 nt
Filed under: uncultured bacterium
Lineage: Bacteria
Description: partial 16S ribosomal RNA
Rfam family: Bacterial small subunit ribosomal RNA
Source: RNAcentral
CCGGCGCACGGGUGAGUAACACGUAUCCAACCCGCCGUCUACUCUUGGACAGCCUUCUGAAGGAAGAUUAAUACAAGAUGGCAUCAUGAGUUCACAUGUUCACAUGAUUAAAGGUAUUCCGGUAGACGAUGGGGAUGCGUUCCAUUAGAUAGUAGGCGGGGUAACGGCCCACCUAGUCUUCGAUGGAUAGGGGUUCUGAGAGGAAGGUCCCCCACAUUGGAACUGAGACACGGUCCAA